AACGUAGGAGCCAAACGUUAUCCGGAGUUACUGGGCGUAAAGGGCGUGUAGGUGGUUUCGUAAGUCUGGCGUGAAAUUUUUCGGCUUAACCGGGAAAGGUCGUCGGAUACUGCGGAGCUAGAGGACGGUAGAGGCGUGUGGAAUUCCGGGUGUAGUGGUGAAAUGCGUAGAGAUCCGGAGGAACACCAGUGGCGAAGGCGACACGCUGGGCCGUACCUGACACUGAUGCGCGACAGCAUGGGGAGCAAACAGG
Molecule: ribosomal RNA, 253 nt
Filed under: uncultured bacterium
Lineage: Bacteria
Description: partial 16S ribosomal RNA
Rfam family: Bacterial small subunit ribosomal RNA
Source: RNAcentral